UACAGAGGGUGCGAGCGUUAAUCGGAAUUACUGGGCGUAAAGCGUGCGUAGACGGUUAUGUAAGUCGGGUGUGAAAGCCCCGGGCUCAACCUGGGAAUUGCAUUCGAGACUGCAUAGCUAGGAUGCGGAAGAGGGAAGUGGAAUUUCCGGUGUAGCGGUGAAAUGCGUAGAUAUCGGAAGGAACAUCAGUGGCGAAAGCGACUUCCUGGUCCAGCAUCGACGUUCAGGCACGAAAGCGUGGGGAGCAAAC
RNAcentral lists this ribosomal RNA (250 nucleotides) under uncultured bacterium. Its description in RNAcentral is "partial 16S ribosomal RNA". It matches the Rfam family "Bacterial small subunit ribosomal RNA", at positions 524 to 773 of the family's 1533-position model. The record is from RNAcentral.